UACGUAGGGUGCGAGCGUUUGUCCGGAAUUAUUGGGCGUAAAGGGCUCGUAGGCGGUCUGUCGCGUCGGGGAGUGAAAACUCAGGGCUUAACCCUGAGCCUGCUUCCGAUACGGGCAGACUAGAGGUAUGCAGGGGGAGAACGGAAUUCCUGGUGUAGCGGUGGAAUGCGUAGAGAUCCGGAAGAACACCGGUGGCGAAGGCAGGUCUCUGGGCAUUAACUGACGCUGAGGAGCGAAAGCAUGGGGAGCGAACAGG
RNAcentral lists this ribosomal RNA (256 nucleotides) under uncultured bacterium. Its description in RNAcentral is "partial 16S ribosomal RNA". It matches the Rfam family "Bacterial small subunit ribosomal RNA", at positions 524 to 776 of the family's 1533-position model. The record is from RNAcentral.